RNAcentral lists this unclassified non-coding RNA (259 nucleotides) under Stereum sanguinolentum. Its description in RNAcentral is "partial internal transcribed spacer region". The stretch from base 1 to 46 matches the Rfam family "Eukaryotic small subunit ribosomal RNA", at positions 1786 to 1831 of the family's 1831-position model. Lineage: Eukaryota; Fungi; Basidiomycota; Agaricomycetes; Russulales; Stereaceae. The record is from RNAcentral.
AAGUCGUAACAAGGUUUCCGUAGGUGAACCUGCGGAAGGAUCAUUAAUGAAAUUUAUGACUGGAGUUGUCGCUGGCCCUUAAAAACGGCAUGUGCACGCUCCUUUCACUAAUCCACACACACCUGUGCACCUUCGCGGGGGUCUUCUUUUCGGAGAAGGCUCGCGUCCCUUUACACACCCUUUGUAUGUCUUAAGAAUGUCUACUCGAUGUAAUAAAACGCAUCUAAUACAACUUUCAACAACGGAUCUCUUGGCUCUC